RNAcentral lists this ribosomal RNA (509 nucleotides) under uncultured fungus. RNAcentral describes it as "eukaryotic LSU rRNA". The stretch from base 149 to 302 matches the Rfam family "5.8S ribosomal RNA". Lineage: Eukaryota; Fungi. The record is from RNAcentral.
GCCCGGGCUUCGGCCUGGUUAUUCAUAACCCUUUGUUGUCCGACUCUGUUGCCUCCGGGGCGACCCUGCCUUCGGGCGGGGGCUCCGGGUGGACACUUCAAACUCUUGCGUAACUUUGCAGUCUGAGUAAACUUAAUUAAUAAAUUAAAACUUUUAACAACGGAUCUCUUGGUUCUGGCAUCGAUGAAGAACGCAGCGAAAUGCGAUAAGUAAUGUGAAUUGCAGAAUUCAGUGAAUCAUCGAAUCUUUGAACGCACAUUGCGCCCCCUGGUAUUCCGGGGGGCAUGCCUGUUCGAGCGUCAUUUCACCACUCAAGCCUCGCUUGGUAUUGGGCAACGCGGUCCGCCGCGUGCCUCAAAUCGUCCGGCUGGGUCUUCUGUCCCCUAAGCGUUGUGGAAACUAUUCGCUAAAGGGUGUUCGGGAGGCUACGCCGUAAAACAACCCCAUUUCUAAGGUUGACCUCGGAUCAGGUAGGGAUACCCGCUGAACUUAAGCAUAUCAAUAAGCGG